This 253-nucleotide ribosomal RNA is filed under the name uncultured bacterium. RNAcentral's name for it is "partial 16S ribosomal RNA". It matches the Rfam family "Bacterial small subunit ribosomal RNA", at positions 524 to 776 of the family's 1533-position model. The record is from RNAcentral.
UACGUAGGGGGCAAGCGUUGUCCGGAAUCAUUGGGCGUAAAGCGCGUGUAGGCGGCCCGAUAAGUCCGCUGUGAAAUUCCAGGGCUCAACCCUGGGAUGCCGGUGGAUACUGUCGGGCUCGAGUCCGGAAGAGGAGUGUGGAAUUCCUGGUGUAGCGGUGAAAUGCGCAGAUAUCGGGAGGAACACCAGUAGCGAAGGCGGCUCGCUGGGCCAUUCCUGACGCUGAGACGCGAAAGCUAGGGGAGCGAACAGG